CCAACGGCUCUUUUAAGAGCCACCCAAACUUUCCCAAAAGAGCUG
Non-coding RNA from Eurypyga helias (sunbittern), 45 nucleotides. NCBI's taxonomy places the organism in Eukaryota, Metazoa, Chordata, Aves, Eurypygiformes, Eurypygidae. The record is from Rfam.